CCAAAAUAUGGGCAUCUACGCAGGGCUUCUUCAUCAUAUGCAUUUCCCAUCAAGUUUUUGAAGACCUCAUGGGUACACAAAGCAGCAUUUCUACACAAUUCUGCAGGGCGUCUGAGUCUGAGACUCUUGGAUGAGCUCGUGGAGGCCACAAAUCCUGACUUUGGUUCCCUGGGUCUUUCAUCCCCCAAUCUACCCAACAUGGACUAAGAGCCUGCUGAGUGCUACCCAUGUUCUUAAGGACCACAAAGCCUAGCAGUACGGAUAAGUGACUAAAAUGUGCAGGUGAGUGCAUGUGCAUAAGCAAAAAACCUAAAACAAAAUGAGUUCGUGUGAAAAUCAGAUCAACAAUUUAGAAGGCGCUGGAGUUUAAUAAACUAUCCUCAAAACAACAUGCAAA
Long non-coding RNA from Tupaia belangeri chinensis (Chinese tree shrew), 397 nucleotides. RefSeq lists it as uncharacterized. The record is from RefSeq and is a predicted model, not a curated record. Lineage: Eukaryota; Metazoa; Chordata; Mammalia; Scandentia; Tupaiidae. The transcript is spliced from 3 exons.